This is an RNA transcript of Zeugodacus cucurbitae (melon fly), 2532 nucleotides long. It is a transcript of the gene named tetraspanin-5, with no coding region annotated. NCBI's taxonomy places the organism in Eukaryota, Metazoa, Arthropoda, Insecta, Diptera, Tephritidae. The record is from RefSeq and is a predicted model, not a curated record. The transcript has 8 exons.
UUUAUGUUGACAUUCCAACCAAUAAGCAAAAUACUCAACUGACAUAAAAACUUACAAGAAAAAUUCUACAAAUAUUUUUGUUAUAAAUUUAAGUCUCAACAAAAUUUCCAACGCAAUGUUUAGUAAAUAAAGAAAAAAUGCAAAUUUAUAGUAACAUUUUAGCGAAUAUUAUAGUAGUUACAGUAAAGUUGAAGGAAAUACUUUUGUAGUUCAAAGCAAAAGCCUAGUGAAAGCAAAUUCUACAUUCUUUUGUAUAAGGUCAAUUUCAAGCAAGUCAAUUUUUUUUGGUAAUAUAGCAAACGUAUAUAUAAAUAUAUAUAAUAAAGUAACAAAAUGCCUUCCGUACGGAAAUACCGUCGCGAAACCACUGAGAUAAGCUGUUGUUUAAAAUAUUUACUCUUCAGCAGCAACGUAGUUGUUUGGACUGCUGGAUUAUGUGUGCUGGCUAUUGGUAUUUGGGCUUGGAACGAAAAAGAUAUGUUCAGCAAUUUGGCUAAGCUAACAUUUAUAGCCUUAGAUCCGGCCUUCGUAUUAAUUUGUACUGGCACUAUAACAUUUAUAAUUGGCUUUACUGGAUGCGUUGGAGCGCUACGAGAAAAUACCUGUCUCUUGUCACUGUAUGCCCUGUUCCUGUCAUUGCUGUUGACGUUUGAAAUCAGUUUGGGUAUAUUGACUUUUGUGCUAAAGGACAAGGGUUGGAUAAAAGAUCAAGCCACCGAGGGAUUACGUGCCUUCAUCAUACACUAUCGUGAAGACCCCGAUCAGCAAAAUCUAAUCGAUUGGAUACAAGAGGAUUGGUUGCAGUGUUGUGGCAUUGAUGGUCCAAAGGAUUGGGACAGCAAUAACUAUUUCAAUUGUUCAUCUAGCGCCAUAGGCAGUCGGGAAGCAUGUGGUGUGCCGUUUUCGUGCUGCCGUCGGCGUCCAACUGAAUUGAUAAAGAACAAACAGUGCGGUUAUGAUGUGCGCAAAGAGGGAUAUAAUUAUGAAAUAUCGAAAAUCAUUUACGAAAAGGGCUGUGUACAAGCGGGUGAAGAGUGGAUUGAGCAUAAUUUAAUUAUAAUUUCAACCAGCGUUAUUAUACUUAUUUUCAUACAGAUACUUGGCAUUUGCUUCACACAAAAUCUGCGCGCCGAUAUAAAUGCGCAAAAAUCAAAAUAUCACUGACAAAUACCUAACGUCGCGCCAUGCAAUGGCGUGCCUCCCAGACCCACUGCCAUUUAGGUUGGCCACAAGUCGCGCCGAUUGUGGCUUUCCAAGAGAAAUUUCUACCGCCACUGGCACUGGGCAAUAAUUUCAUGACAGUGCCUUCUACUUCCAACUUGUUCUUUUUCGAAACCGUUUUCAAAACCCUGCAAUUCAAUUCAAGACAAUUUAUUAUUUUUCAACUGCUGUGACAGGCUUCGGCCUGAGAAAAUCGAAUUUAUUCUAGCAACAAUGGAUUUUUGGUCUCCGAUACGUAGAUCUCAAAUCUGGAUCGUUGAGGGCCAUAUCUGGAGAACACGUUGGAUUCGGAAGAAACUCGAAGUCCAUCUAUUUCAAUCACCAAUAUAUAUGUACAUAUAUACCUGUUCGAUAGUGUGAAACUUUAUGGACUUCAAUGUAGGCAAUUGUUUCCAACUUUAAUUUCUCAGGGAUGUUGUCUAUCUUUUUAAGUAUACUCAGAUCAGUAGUCAUACACAAUACGGACCGGCAACUAUACUCCAGUGGGCUUGUGUAGGGAUUCAUUACUUUAUUUAUUUCUCGCGUUAAGGGAAAAUUAAAACAAACAUUUGCUUUUUUGUUAUUUAUUUUUAAAUAUUAUUAUUCAAUUUGAUUUUAUUUAAUAUUUACUUAUGCGUUUAUUUGCAAUAUAAAAUUGUAUAAAUUAAAUGCGUUUGAUUAAAAUAUUGUCCAAUCUAUAUUUAAUAUUUAAUACAUAGCAGUUUCGUUUUUGAUUUAAGUAUAUGUCCGUAUUUAUGUAUAUUUAUAUCAUAUUUAUAAUAGUAAUAUGCUCUUGAGGCAUUAUUAGUUACAUCUUUAUGAAUAUUAUUUAUUAUAUAAAAUUCCCUGGGUACUCGCUAAACCUUGAGUACUCAUAAGUAUGGUAUAUAAACUUUUUCAUACUAAUGGAGCCAAGAAAUGAAUAUUUUAGUUUAGAGCUGUACUCUUCAUUUUUAAGUAACGAUUUGCAGUGGAAGUAGUUAGUGAGUCCAUAAUUAUAAUUCGUAGCGUUUUUGGUCCAAAAAUGGAAGUUUAAAUGGUUAUUUUAUAUAUAGAGAGAUCUUAGUUAAUAAAAACUAUUUAAUUUUUGUAAUUCGUUGGAAUAUGUUUAUAUAAAUAAAUAUAUUAUAGUUUAAUCACAAAUUAGAUAUUUAAAAAUGAAUUAAUAACUAAAAGGUACAAAUUUCUGGCGGUAUACAUAUUUUAGAAUAACGAAUUGUUUGACUUUUGGGUAUUUUGAUAUAUGUAUGAACUUAUUUUAAAUAUCAUUAAUAUCCUUUAUAUAAUUUUUCUUAUAAAAUUUACAUUAUAUUUCUAAAUACUUUACAAUUU